GGCGCGGUAGCCAAGUAGCUAAGGCAUCGGUCUGCAAAACCGAUAACGUGGGUGCAAUUCCCAUCCGCGCCU
Molecule: transfer RNA, 72 nt
Filed under: Minisyncoccales bacterium
Lineage: Bacteria; Bacillati; Minisyncoccota; Minisyncoccia; Minisyncoccales
Description: tRNA-Cys
Rfam family: tRNA
About the family: Transfer RNA (tRNA) molecules are approximately 80 nucleotides in length. Their secondary structure includes four short double-helical elements and three loops (D, anti-codon, and T loops).
Source: RNAcentral